GUGAUCGUAGCUCAAUUGGCAGAGCUCCUGUUUGUGGAACAGGCGGUUGGCGGUUCGAGCCCGCUCGAUCACCCCA
Molecule: transfer RNA, 76 nt
Filed under: bacterium
Lineage: Bacteria
Also listed under: 1 other name
Description: tRNA-His
Rfam family: tRNA
About the family: Transfer RNA (tRNA) molecules are approximately 80 nucleotides in length. Their secondary structure includes four short double-helical elements and three loops (D, anti-codon, and T loops).
Source: RNAcentral